This 800-nucleotide ribosomal RNA is filed under the name uncultured bacterium. RNAcentral describes it as "bacterial SSU rRNA". It matches the Rfam family "Bacterial small subunit ribosomal RNA", at positions 31 to 837 of the family's 1533-position model. The record is from RNAcentral.
GGGCGUGGCGGCUGCCAAACUGGCAAGCCGAACGAAGCGCUUUCCCGAAUACUCGAAGGAAGGGGAGAGUGACUGAGUGGCGGACGGGUGAGUAACGCGUGGGGAACCUGCCCUGUACAGGGGGAUAACAGCCAGAAAUGGCUGCUGAUACCGCAUAAGCGCACGGCGCCGCAUGGCGCAGUGUGAAAAACUCCGGUGGUAUAAGAUGGAUCCGCGCCUGAUUAGCUAGUUGGCGGGGCAGCGGCCCACCAAGGCGACGAUCAGUAGCCGGCCUGAGAGGGCGAUCGGCCACAUUGGGACUGAGACACGGCCCAAACUCCUACGGGAGGCAGCAGUGGGGAAUAUUGCAUAAUGGGGGGAACCCUGAUGCAGCGACGCCGCGUGAGUGAAGAAGUAUUUCGGUAUGUAAAGCUCUAUCAGCAGGGAAGAAGAUGACGGUACCUGACUAAGAAGCCCCGGCUAACUACGUGCCAGCAGCCGCGGUAAUACGUAGGGGGCAAGCGUUAUCCGGAUUUACUGGGUGUAAAGGGAGCGUAGACGGUGAUGCAAGUCAGAAGUGAAAGCCCGGGGCUCAACUCCGGGACUGCUUUUGAAACUGUGUGACUGGAGUGCAGGAGAGGUAAGCGGAAUUCCUGGUGUAGCGGUGAAAUGCGUAGAUAUCAGGAGGAACACCAGUGGCGAAGGCGGCUUACUGGACUGUAACUGACGUUGAGGCUCGAAAGCGUGGGGAGCAAACAGGAUUAGAUACCCUGGUAAUCCACGCCGUAAACGAUGAAUAUUAAGUGUCGGGGAGCAAAGCU